ACCUGCGAAGAUCAUACUAGAUUUAGGCUUUGCCUGCUAUCUCUUACCCAUGUCUUUUGAGUACCUUACGUUUCCUCGGCGGGUCCGCCCGCCGAUUGGACAAUUUAAACCAUUUGCAGUUGCAAUCAGCGUCUGAAAAAACUUAAUAGUUACAACUUUCAACAACGGAUCUCUUGGUUCUGGCAUCGAUGAAGAACGCAGCGAAAUGCGAUAAGUAGUGUGAAUUGCAGAAUUCAGUGAAUCAUCGAAUCUUUGAACGCACAUUGCGCCCCUUGGUAUUCCAUGGGGCAUGCCUGUUCGAGCGUCAUUUGUACCUUCAAGCUCUGCUUGGUGUUGGGUGUUUGUCUCGCCUCUGCGUGUAGACUCGCCUCAAAACAAUUGGCAGCCGGCGUAUUGAUUUCGGAGCGCAGUACAUCUCGCGCUUUGCACUCAUAACAGACGACGUCCAAAAGUACAUUUUUACACUCUGACCUC
Molecule: ribosomal RNA, 474 nt
Filed under: Phoma sp. UFMGCB 2151
Lineage: Eukaryota; Fungi; Ascomycota; Dothideomycetes; Pleosporales; Didymellaceae
Description: eukaryotic LSU rRNA
Rfam family: 5.8S ribosomal RNA (bases 154-307)
Source: RNAcentral